GGCUUGGUGGCGUAAUGGUAAUGCGCUCCAUGGUGAUCUAUAGCAUUUAUAUAUUGUUUGAUGGAUAGUCCAGAGUUUGAUUCUCCCUCAAGCCA
Mycena latifolia is the source of this 95-nucleotide non-coding RNA. NCBI's taxonomy places the organism in Eukaryota, Fungi, Basidiomycota, Agaricomycetes, Agaricales, Mycenaceae. The record is from the annotation of a GenBank genome assembly.